GCACCCCCACUUACCCAGUCCACACCUGGAAUGAUACAGAGAAGAUUAGCAUGGCCCCUGCAUAAGGAUGACAUGCAAAUUCGUGAAGUGUUCUAGGAAUGC
Molecule: small nuclear RNA, 102 nt
Filed under: Chelydra serpentina (North American snapping turtle)
Lineage: Eukaryota; Metazoa; Chordata; Testudines; Chelydridae
Source: RNAcentral